UAGCAAAAAAAAUCUUUUUUAAUAAGAUAAUAUAAUAUGUAAAUUAAAUAAUUCUUUUUUCAAAUCAAGUUAGUUUAUGACUUAGUUAAUGUAGCAUUUUAAUUGUUAGCAAAAAUUAGUGUGUCAAUUGGAUAAUAUAAUAUAUUAAUUAAAUAAAUUUUUUCUUAAAUCAGGUUAGUUUAUGAUUUUUUUUGGUUAAUUUUAGGGGUGACAAUU
This 216-nucleotide long non-coding RNA is filed under the name Elaeis guineensis (African oil palm). Its description in RNAcentral is "long non-coding RNA (EGUI_LNC011947)". Lineage: Eukaryota; Viridiplantae; Streptophyta; Magnoliopsida; Arecales; Arecaceae. The record is from RNAcentral.